RNAcentral lists this ribosomal RNA (488 nucleotides) under uncultured bacterium. Its description in RNAcentral is "partial 16S ribosomal RNA". It matches the Rfam family "Bacterial small subunit ribosomal RNA", at positions 30 to 523 of the family's 1533-position model. The record is from RNAcentral.
AUUGAACGCUAGCGGCAGGCCUAACACAUGCAAGUCGAGCGGGGUUUUCGGACCUAGCGGCGGACGGGUGAGUAAUGCGUAGGAAGCUACCCGAUAGAGGGGGAUACCAGUUGGAAACGACUGUUAAUACCGCAUAAUGUCUACGGACCAAAGUGUGGGACCUUCGGGCCACAUGCUAUCGGAUGCGCCUACGUGGGAUCAGCUAGUUGGUGGGGUAACGGCUCACCAAGGCGACGAUCCCUAGCUGGUUUGAGAGGAUGAUCAGCCACACUGGAACUGAGACACGGUCCAGACUCCUACGGGAGGCAGCAGUGGGGAAUAUUGGACAAUGGGCGCAAGCCUGAUCCAGCCAUGCCGCGUGUGUGAAGAAGGCCUUCGGGUUGUAAAGCACUUUCAGUAGGGAGGAAGGGUGUUGUGUUAAUAGCACAGCAUUUUGACGUUACCUACAGAAGAAGCACCGGCUAACUCUGUGCCAGCAGCCGCCGUAA